UGGGGAAUAUUGGACAAUGGGCGCAAGCCUGAUCCAGCCAUGCCGCGUGUGUGAAGAAGGCCUUUUGGUUGUAAAGCACUUUAAGCGAGGAGGAGGCUACUUGGAUUAAUACUCUAGGAUAGUGGACGUUACUCGCAGAAUAAGAACCGGCUAACUCUGUGCCAGCAGCCGCGGUAAUACAGAGGGUGCGAGCGUUAAUCGGAUUUACUGGGCGUAAAGCGUGCGUAGGCGGCUUUUUAAGUCGGAUGUGAAAUCCCUGAGCUUAACUUAGGAAUUGCAUUCGAUACUGGGAAGCUAGAGUAUGGGAGAGGAUGGUAGAAUUCCAGGUGUAGCGGUGAAAUGCGUAGAGAUCUGGAGGAAUACCGAUGGCGAAGGCAGCCAUCUGGCAUAAUACUGACGCUGAGGUACGAAAGCAUGGGGAGCAAACAGG
This 430-nucleotide ribosomal RNA is filed under the name Acidobacteriota bacterium. Its description in RNAcentral is "Acidobacteria bacterium partial 16S ribosomal RNA". It matches the Rfam family "Bacterial small subunit ribosomal RNA", at positions 355 to 776 of the family's 1533-position model. The record is from RNAcentral. Lineage: Bacteria; Pseudomonadati; Acidobacteriota.